Molecule: ribosomal RNA, 119 nt
Organism: Gossypium raimondii (Peruvian cotton)
Lineage: Eukaryota; Viridiplantae; Streptophyta; Magnoliopsida; Malvales; Malvaceae
Source: Rfam
GGGUGCGAUCAUACUAGUACUAAUACACCGGAUUCCAUCAGAACUCCGCAGUUAAGCGUGCUUGGGCGAGUGUAGUACUACGAUGGGUGACCUCCUAGGAAGUCCACGUGUUGCACCGC